This 465-nucleotide ribosomal RNA is filed under the name Bacillus sp. CZ140d. RNAcentral describes it as "bacterial SSU rRNA". It matches the Rfam family "Bacterial small subunit ribosomal RNA", at positions 1079 to 1533 of the family's 1533-position model. Lineage: Bacteria; Bacillati; Bacillota; Bacilli; Caryophanales; Bacillaceae. The record is from RNAcentral.
GUUAAGUCCCGCAACGAGCGCAACCCUUGAUCUUAGUUGCCAGCAUUCAGUUGGGCACUCUAAGGUGACUGCCGGUGACAAACCGGAGGAAGGUGGGGAUGACGUCAAAUCAUCAUGCCCCUUAUGACCUGGGCUACACACGUGCUACAAUGGGUGGUACAAAGGGCAGCAAAACCGCGAGGUCGAGCCAAUCCCAUAAAACCACUCUCAGUUCGGAUUGUAGGCUGCAACUCGCCUACAUGAAGCUGGAAUCGCUAGUAAUCGCGGAUCAGCAUGCCGCGGUGAAUACGUUCCCGGGCCUUGUACACACCGCCCGUCACACCACGAGAGUUUGUAACACCCGAAGUCGGUGGGGUAACCGUAAGGAGCCAGCCGCCUAAGGUGGGACAGAUGAUUGGGGUGAAGUCGUAACAAGGUAGCCGUAUCGGAAGGUGCGGCUGGAUCACCUCCUUUCUGCGGCCGCUA